Long non-coding RNA from Pan troglodytes (chimpanzee), 862 nucleotides. RefSeq lists it as uncharacterized. The transcript is spliced from 4 exons. The record is from RefSeq and is a predicted model, not a curated record. Lineage: Eukaryota; Metazoa; Chordata; Mammalia; Primates; Hominidae.
CUUAGAACAAGAAAAGGCUCUGAAACAGAUCCAAGAUGUUGUUUGAGCCAUGCAACUAGAAGAUCUCAUAGAACUAAAGUUAUCUAAUUUACAGAAAAGGUUUUACGUGAUGUCUAUUGUACAGAUUCAUAUGAAAACCAUAGUUCAAACUCCAAGGUUUAAGAAGUAAGAAAGAUCAUGUCAUUUGCAACAAACAUGCAUGCAUAUUUGAAAAGCAACUGUAAGUAUGCUAUUGGACAUUGGUAAAGAUUGAAUAUCUGACCAUGGCAUAUCAAGAAACCGUGGAAUGAGUACUGCUUAUCAAGAUCUGGGUGUGAGAAGACUUAAAAAGUCAGAUAGUCAGUGAGAACCAGCUAGAAUCCAUGAAAUUGUGACUAAUAAGAAUCCCAGAGAAGUUCUGCCCUAAUGGAGUCAACUUGAUUUGAGAUGCAAAUGGAUUUGAGCAAUGCUGUGCUAAUGGUCUAUCAAGAUAUCCUGAGUUUCCAGUAGAGAUGUUUCAGCCAUAACACGGGCCUGGUAGACAAAUAACUAGGAGACCAUGUCCCUUGGCAUCAGUAUUGAUCUUCAAUAAUUUGUCCUUGAUAUUGAGAGAAGAGGAUCAAACUAUUUGAACAGGAUUGCUGUACUUCAAUUCAACAUGUAAAGUGAAAAUGCAGACCCAGUUGACUAUAUUUCACUCAUUUGGGUGGAAGAAGCAGAAGAAGUUUAUUAACAAAGAAGGAGAAUAACAAAAGAAAUAUAAGAUGAAAAGAAAAGCAAAAAGAAAGAAAACUAAAGAAAAAGCAAAAGAAAGAAUACUAAAUCUGAAAUACAUUUUAGUCCCCAAAUCAAGUUGGUGCAUAAAGUUCAAAUGUUUUCCUGA